CAGCAGUAGCCGCGGUAAAACGUAGGGUGCGAGCGUUAAUCGGAAUUACUGGGCGUAAAGCGUGCGCAGGCGGUUUGUUAAGACAGAUGUGAAAUCCCCGGGCUCAACCUGGGAACUGCAUUUGUGACUGGCAAGCUAGAGUGUGGCAGAGGGGGGUGGAAUUCCGCGUGUAGCAGUGAAAUGCGUAGAUAUGCGGAGGAACACCGAUGGCGAAGGCAGCCCCCUGGGCCAACACUGACGCUCAUGCACGAAAGCGUGGGGAGCAAACAGGAUUAGAUACCCCAGUAGUCCCUGUCUCUUAUAC
This 304-nucleotide ribosomal RNA is filed under the name uncultured bacterium. Its description in RNAcentral is "partial 16S ribosomal RNA". It matches the Rfam family "Bacterial small subunit ribosomal RNA", at positions 506 to 807 of the family's 1533-position model. The record is from RNAcentral.